AAACAACUCUCAAAGGUGGACGCCUCGACGUUUUACGGUGGCGCACGUAAGUGGCUCUCACUUUUCAAGCUUUUGCAAUGUUCCAUUCAAGGUGGCAUGAAACUCUGCAUCUGUCAGUAAGAGCUAAGACAUACCGCAUGCCAAUAAACGAGACUUUUGCAACAGGAAACUAUUUAUAACGUCAAAAAGGGUGCGUAAAAUACCGCGUCCGCGAUCGUGCACAUUGCGCCUUAGUGCCACCUUUGUUGUGGGGCAGCCAUUUUGCACCAUGCGCGCAGACAUGAUGGUUAUGUGUAAAUUUUUUGUCUGCAGGACUUUAAGAUCAUGCAUCAAAACGUCAGAAAGUUGAUGAUGCGACAGAAGAAGAAAUCCUCAUGAGAAUAUCAAACGGAGAUAUCUCAGAUGACGACUUUUCAGAUGACGAAAUGGAAGAAGGAAAUGAAGAAAACCUACCUGCCAAUGGUCAGGUGAACGCAUCCAUGGCCACAGCUGCACUGCCUGCACGACCAGAUGCCACGGUCAUUACCUCGAACAAGCCUGCGGCAUCCAAGAAGGCCGAGUUCAAAUGGGUGAACAAAGAUUUUGCUCCAAGUGAUGUUGACUGCCACUACAAUACUGAAGUAGCGUCGACAUGCCAGCAGCCACUUGUGUAUUUUAGCAAGUAUUUCACCGAACAGAUAUUUGAAGACCUUGCUGAAUUCACAAAUAGGUAUGCCCGACAAAGAGACUGUGCCGUAUUAGCCACAAGGAAAGAAGAGAUCAAAAUAUUUUUUAGGGGUGUUCUGAAAUACCCACGCGUCAGAAUGUAUUGGCAAACUGCAACGAGGACUCCCGCAAUAGCCGAUUCGAUGGGCGUGAAGCGAUUCUUCAAAAUCAGAGGCGCUCUCCACCUAACCGACGCUAAUGAAGAAUGGGACCCAAACAGCCAAGACAAAUUUUGGAAAGUUAGGCCGUUGCUAGAAGCUGUCAGACGCCGUUGCUUACAGCUUGUUCCCUUGGAACAGAAUAGCAUCGAUGAACAGAUGGUGCCGUUCACAGGACGCAUUGCUGCAAAGCAAUUUGUGAAGGAAAAACCAAACCCAGAAGGCGUGAAGGUCUUGUAAGAUGCAGUUUUGACGAUCUUGCACAUGACUGAGUUUUACCAAGGGAAGGGAACCGGAGUGAGCAAAGAACAUGCCCAUCUUGGCCUUGGUGGCUCCAUCGUAAUGUGCCUUGUUGAAAGCCUCCUGAAGGCACAGAACAUCAAGUGCUACAUGGACAAUUAUUUUUACAUCCGUGAAGCUCUUUCUUGAGUUAAAAGAGAUUGGCAUUUUGGCUAGUGGCACAAUUAGAGGAAACCGCUGCUAGGCAGGAUGCGUCAUGAAAACAGAAAAGGAAAUGAAGAAAGAAGGAUGGGGAAGCUAUGAUGAACUGUUUCCCAGAACGACUCAGUUGUCCUUUUUCGUUGGCAAGACAACGGGAUCGUUAACAUGGCUUCCACCCACCUAGGAGUUGGAAAUAUUGGCACCGUGAGAAGAUGGAGCGAAGCUAAAAAGGUCCACGUUGACACUGACUGUCCAGAUGUAGUCCUGGACUACAAAAAAUACAUGGGUGUAGUGGACAAACUGGACUUCAUCAUGUCCCUCUACCCAAUGCGGACGCAAACGAAAAAGUGGCCAGUGAGAGUGAUAUUCCUUUUUUCUUCGUUUGCCCUCUGCAACAGUUGGCUUGAGUACUUAACGGAUGCCAAUAAAGAAGGGCUAAAAAGAGAUACUGGACAUGAUGACGUUCCAAACAGACGUCGCAAAUUGCCUGCUGAACAGCAAUAAGCCACAAAAGAAGUGUGGACGUCCGAGCAAUGAGAACUCCCAAGCAGUGAAAAAGAAGGCUCCCAAUGCUUCACCACUACCAGUCAGCACUGUUCGUUAUGAUGGGAUCAAUCAUUGGCCGCAGCAAGUAAACAUGACUAACGCACAACGCUGCCGGAAAGAGGAAUGCACAUCCAAAAGCCAUGUCCGCUGCAGGAAAUGCAACAUUUUUCUUUAAUAUCUCAGAACGACUCUUUAUUUAUUUCAUACCAAAUGACUAUUUCUGAUUAUUUUUACGGAAAAGACUUCCUAAAUAGUGUUCCUGCAAUGAUUAUUUGCGAGCCUCUGAAAUAAAAGCAUUUGUUUUCUUCUUCA
Long non-coding RNA from Rhipicephalus sanguineus (brown dog tick), 2162 nucleotides. RefSeq lists it as uncharacterized. NCBI's taxonomy places the organism in Eukaryota, Metazoa, Arthropoda, Arachnida, Ixodida, Ixodidae. The record is from RefSeq and is a predicted model, not a curated record. The transcript has 2 exons.